UACGGAGGGGGCAAGCGUUAUUCGGAAUCAUUGGGCGUAAAGGGCGCGUAGGCGGCUUGGCAAGUCAAAGGUGAAAUCCCUCGGCCCAACCGAGGAACUGCCUUUGAUACUGCUUGGCUCGAGGCCGGGAGAGGGUAGCGGAAUUCCCAGUGUAGCGGUGAAAUGCGUAGAUAUUGGGAGGAACACCAGUGGCGAAGGCGGCUACCUGGACCGGUUCUGACGCUGAUGCGCGAAAGCGUGGGGAGCAAACAGG
This 253-nucleotide ribosomal RNA is filed under the name uncultured bacterium. RNAcentral's name for it is "partial 16S ribosomal RNA". It matches the Rfam family "Bacterial small subunit ribosomal RNA", at positions 524 to 776 of the family's 1533-position model. The record is from RNAcentral.